Molecule: ribosomal RNA, 1471 nt
Filed under: Staphylococcus capitis
Lineage: Bacteria; Bacillati; Bacillota; Bacilli; Caryophanales; Staphylococcaceae
Description: partial 23S ribosomal RNA
Rfam family: Bacterial large subunit ribosomal RNA
Source: RNAcentral
AGAUUAAGUUAUUAAGGGCGCACGGUGGAUGCCUUGGCACUAGAAGCCGAAGAAGGACGUUACUAACGACGAUAUGCUUUGGGUAGCUGUAAGUAAGCGUUGAUCCAGAGAUUUCCGAAUGGGGGAACCCAACAUGAGUUAUGUCAUGUUAUCGACAUGUGAAUUCAUAGCAUGUCAGAAGGCAGACCCGGAGAACUGAAACAUCUUAGUACCCGGAGGAAGAGAAAGAAAAAUCGAUUCCCUGAGUAGCGGCGAGCGAAACGGGAAGAGCCCAAACCAACAAGCUUGCUUGUUGGGGUUGUAGGACACUCUAUACGGAGUUACAAAAGAACAUGUUAGACGAAUCAUCUGGAAAGAUGAAUCAAAGAAGGUAAUAAUCCUGUAGUCGAAAACAUAUUCUCUCUUGAGUGGAUCCUGAGUACGACGGAGCACGUGAAAUUCCGUCGGAAUCUAGGAGGACCAUCUCCUAAGGCUAAAUACUCUCUAGUGACCGAUAGUGAACCAGUACCGUGAGGGAAAGGUGAAAAGUACCCCGGAAGGGGAGUGAAAGAGAACUUGAAACCGUGUGCUUACAAGUAGUCAGAGCCCGUUUAUGGGUGAUGGCGUGCCUUUUGUAGAAUGAACCGGCGAGUUACGAUCUGAUGCAAGGUUAAGCAGCGAAUGUGGAGCCGUAGCGAAAGCGAGUCUGAAUAGGGCGUUGAGUAUUUGGUCGUAGACCCGAAACCAGGUGAUCUACCCUUGGUCAGGUUGAAGUUCAGGUAACACUGAAUGGAGGACCGAACCGACUUACGUUGAAAAGUGAGCGGAUGAACUGAGGGUAGCGGAGAAAUUCCAAUCGAACUUGGAGAUAGCUGGUUCUCUCCGAAAUAGCUUUAGGGCUAGCCUCAAGUGAUGAUUAUUGGAGGUAGAGCACUGUUUGGACGAGGGGCCCCUCUCGGGUUACCGAAUUCAGACAAACUCCGAAUGCCAAUCAAUUUAACUUGGGAGUCAGAACAUGGGUGAUAAGGUCCGUGUUCGAAAGGGAAACAGCCCAGACCACCAGCUAAGGUCCCAAAAUAUAUGUUAAGUGGAAAAGGAUGUGGCGUUGCCCAGACAACUAGGAUGUUGGCUUAGAAGCAGCCAUCAUUUAAAGAGUGCGUAAUAGCUCACUAGUCGAGUGACACUGCGCCGAAAAUGUACCGGGGCUAAACAUAUUACCGAAGCUGUGGAUUGUCCUUCGGACAAUGGUAGGAGAGCGUUCUAAGGGCGUUGAAGCAUGAUCGCAAGGACAUGUGGAGCGCUUAGAAGUGAGAAUGCCGGUGUGAGUAGCGAAAGACGGGUGAGAAUCCCGUCCACCGAUUGACUAAGGUUUCCAGAGGAAGGCUCGUCCGCUCUGGGUUAGUCGGGUCCUAAGCUGAGGCCGACAGGCGUAGGCGAUGGAUAACAGGUUGAUAUUCCUGUACCACCUAGUAUCGUUUUAAUCGAUGGGGGG